AACUCAACAGCUAGCUUAAAUAACUUAA
This 28-nucleotide ribosomal RNA is filed under the name Cynodonichthys frommi. RNAcentral's name for it is "partial 16S ribosomal RNA". The record is from RNAcentral. Lineage: Eukaryota; Metazoa; Chordata; Actinopteri; Cyprinodontiformes; Rivulidae.